This 71-nucleotide transfer RNA is filed under the name Scleropages formosus (Asian bonytongue). RNAcentral describes it as "tRNA-Met". Lineage: Eukaryota; Metazoa; Chordata; Actinopteri; Osteoglossiformes; Osteoglossidae. The record is from RNAcentral.
GGCACAGUGGUGCAGUGGGUAGCACUGGUGUCUCAUAAUGAUUGGGCAUGGGUUCAAAACUCAUCUGGUCA